RNAcentral lists this ribosomal RNA (492 nucleotides) under uncultured bacterium. RNAcentral describes it as "partial 16S ribosomal RNA". It matches the Rfam family "Bacterial small subunit ribosomal RNA", at positions 29 to 507 of the family's 1533-position model. The record is from RNAcentral.
AGUGAACGCUGGCGGUAGGCCUAACACAUGCAAGUCGAACGGCAGCACAGUAAGAGCUUGCUCUUACGGGUGGCGAGUGGCGGACGGGUGAGGAAUACAUCGGAAUCUACUUUUUCGUGGGGGCUAACGUAGGGAAACUUACGCUAAUACCGCAUACGACCUACGUGUGAAAGCAGGGGAUCUUCGGACCUUGCGCGAUUGAAUGAGCCGAUGUCGGAUUAGCUAGUUGGCGGGGUAAAGGCCCACCAAGGCGACGAUCCGUAGCUGGUCUGAGAGGAUGAUCAGCCACACUGGAAGUGAGACACGGUCCAGACUCCUACGGGAGGCAGCAGUGGGGAAUAUUGGACAAUGGGCGCAAGCCUGAUCCAGCCAUACCGCGUGGGUGAAGAAGGCCUUCGGGUUGUAAAGCCCUGUUGUUGGGAAAGAAAAGCAGCAGGUUAAUACCCCGCUGUUCUGACGGUACCCAAAGAAUAAGCACCGGCUAACUUCGUG